GGAAAUUGAAUAUGUGAGAAGUAUUUAAUUGGGUAGUUAAAACUAGUGUCAUCCAAUCACAAUUUACCUUGGUUGAUGAGAUUUCAGAUUUGAGCCUUAUAAACCGGAAAGGAGGAAGUAGUAAUUAAGACUUAAUUAGUAGGCUUCUAAAAGAAUAUAUUUGAUUGGACUUCUAGAAUAAGCUGGGUAGGGGGCAACUUAUUUCAGCUUAUUCUAGAAGCUACGAAAAGAACUGGCCCUUAGAUCCACAAAGCUUUGAAGCUCAUAAACAAAACAAAGAUGAAAUGAAAAAAAAUGCCAUAUCCGGCGUAGCUAAAAGCAGACUACGAUGCAUAUACACCUAGCCAAUUAUUAGCACGCCAUUCAAACCGGCUGAAGGUAGCCCGUGCGACCAUCUACCAUCAGUUGUAUCCAAUAUCCAUAAGCUACCUGGAGUCUGCAUGGCUGAGUAACAACCACGUACGGAUCCAAG
RNAcentral lists this long non-coding RNA (472 nucleotides) under Hordeum vulgare. RNAcentral's name for it is "long non-coding RNA (HVUL_LNC020168)". Lineage: Eukaryota; Viridiplantae; Streptophyta; Magnoliopsida; Poales; Poaceae. The record is from RNAcentral.